AGACAUUUUGCCUCCUGCUAUGGACUUCAGGUUCACAUUAGGGAACAGCAGAGGUCGAAGUGCAACAGGCUCGUGAUGCAUAGCAUGAAGUUAUACGUUGCCCACGAGCCAGAUGCAGUUGGAAUAACCAUCAAGUAAUAACCAUGUGUCUCCAUGUAUGUUAAUGUGUUGUGCUUUUAAACAAACUUG
Molecule: long non-coding RNA, 189 nt
Organism: Trematomus bernacchii (emerald rockcod)
Lineage: Eukaryota; Metazoa; Chordata; Actinopteri; Perciformes; Nototheniidae
Exons: 2
Source: RefSeq, a predicted model, not a curated record